GCUUACUGAUAUCAGAGCGCUGAGUAUCUAAACAAUAUUGAGAAAGGAGAGGCUGGAAUAUCAUUGUCGGUAUACACAGAACUUGCUGAUAUAGCGGUUGUUUUGCCUGGUAAUGUUCUAGUCGGCAGUGGACUUUAAGAUUCCUGGUUAUGUUGGUAACGCACUACCGGCAGACUUCCCACUCCAUACUUAUGCGCAUAUCUUGAGGGACAGACCCAGUGAAGAGGAGAGCGUUACAUUUUUCCGUGUUGCCUCAUCGCCUUCGUGUGGUCACCCCGCGUCACCCACGCUAACUUAUUGGUGGUAACACGGAGAGCAAGUGGAAGAAACCUUGGGAGACUUCCAUGACUCAGGAACAAGCACACCUCACUGGGAGCCUUGUGACUGACAGGUGGUUCAGACCGACUGGGAGACAUGACAUCAGUGCCACCACGCAGGGAGUAAAACCAAGAGGAGGAAGAGGAGCAUUCAAGAGACAUCAGCUGGCCAGCAGUCCAUUCAGUUUCACAACAGGAAGUGAAGGAUGAAGCAUGAAGGGUUUUAGGCCAAAAUGAACUGACAGCAAUCAGGAAUGACACGUCCAGCAAAACCAGCAACACAGCAGUGAGUGUGCAUGCUGACACACACACACACCCAGGCUUCCAAGUUGAUAAUCCAAAAGCCAGCAGAUGACAGCUUCCUUCCAGCACACACUUGUAUCGCCCAACUUGACCUGCCUGAAUACAAGCUGAUACAGUCCAUGCAGCAGAGUAAAGAGUGCAGCCUCUACAAGUGGUGGAGGGCAUGGACACUUGGAUAUGGAUGACACUGGUUUGGGUGCCAAAUAUUAAUAGUGCACCUACACAAUUACCACACUCGCUCCUCUCACCAGGCUUAACUAUAAAUAAUUAAAGCAUGGAGGAGUGAGGAGGCACAUCUGUCUGUGAUUAGGGAAUGCAAAUGACGAUGUUCCAAGGACAUCACCCUGUCCUGGGACAUGACAUGAGAGAGAAGAGGAAAAAAGGUCUCUCUCUCUCUCUCUCUCUCUCUCUCUCUCUCUCUCUCUCUCUCUCUCUCUCUCUCUCUCUCUCUCUCUCUCUCUCUCUCUCUCAGAGUUUCCAUAACACCAAACUGCUCUGGUGUUAAUUUCAUGAGUUGCUGAAUAAUAGAAAUGGGAAUGUUAGUUCAAUGCAUUUAGCUCUGAGUAUGAAAGAAUGACAAGAAAGAAUGCAGAGGACACUAGAACACAUGCACAGAAAACUGAAAGAUUUUUAAACUUUUGAAUAGGUGUAGGAAAAAAAAAAAAAAAAAAAAACUGCAAAAUCAGUGUCUCCUUAAAACAACACAUGACAGCAAUGAUAACUCACACAACAAUAAUGCUUGAUGAAGACUAUAUUUCCAACACAGAUUUAUGAGAACAUUUGGCAAAGCUGUGCACUGUUUACUUGUGUUAAAACUAUGCCAUGAUUUGAGAGGAAAGUUGGUUAGUCAUUAUAGGGUUAAGAUGAUAUAAGGGUGUUUAUUUUAGCUAAUUUCCAAUGACUCCUAAUAUAAGAUUAAAACUUUAAUGAUUAAGUAACUAUUUCAUUGUUUACAUUAAUUUACACCAAAAUUUCGCAACUACAACCUCAGGGAUGUUUAGUUAAUCCAAUUUUGUUCACAACUACUACAUUUUUUCCAAUGGUUUACCCAUAGUACAACACAAACAACUACAAUAUCAUUCAUGCUAUUUCAUUCCAAAAAAAAAAUUCACAACUAUGUACAUGAUCUAGUUUACAAUAAAAGGAUUUUGAACAAUA
Molecule: long non-coding RNA, 1778 nt
Organism: Scylla paramamosain (green mud crab)
Lineage: Eukaryota; Metazoa; Arthropoda; Malacostraca; Decapoda; Portunidae
Exons: 7
Source: RefSeq, a predicted model, not a curated record